RNAcentral lists this long non-coding RNA (333 nucleotides) under Volvox carteri. RNAcentral's name for it is "long non-coding RNA (VCAR_LNC002803)". The record is from RNAcentral. Lineage: Eukaryota; Viridiplantae; Chlorophyta; Chlorophyceae; Chlamydomonadales; Volvocaceae.
GCCUGCUGGUCAUUGGAUGGCUUCAUUGGCGUCGUGGGGCACACAGCCGCCGGCGUCGCUGCUUCUGUUGCAAAUUCCCCCAUCGAGGAUGUGUGCCGUGGUGUGAUUUGGGCUGCCUGCAUCAUGGCCGGGUUGGGGAUGAGGAAGACCAGGACGGCCUCUAGUGCAUGCGACGACGUUUGCUGUGUCGGCUUCUCCAACUGAUCCGCUACUGUAGGCCCCGCUAUCACCUCCCGGGGUACGUCACUGGGCGAAAGUAGCCCCAGGGCCCGCAGCGUUGCAAGGCUGGUAGGUCCCGGCUGGCGGGGGAGGGAGGUGUCGCCGUCUAGGCGG